RNAcentral lists this ribosomal RNA (497 nucleotides) under uncultured bacterium. RNAcentral describes it as "partial 16S ribosomal RNA". It matches the Rfam family "Bacterial small subunit ribosomal RNA", at positions 28 to 507 of the family's 1533-position model. The record is from RNAcentral.
GAUGAACGCUGGCGGCGUGCCUAAUACAUGCAAGUCGAGCGAACGGACGAGAAGCUUGCUUCUCUGAUGUUAGCGGCGGACGGGUGAGUAACACGUGGAUAACCUACCUAUAAGACUGGGAUAACUUCGGGAAACCGGAGCUAAUACCGGAUGAUAUUUUGAACCGCAUGGUUCAAAAGUGAAAGACGGUAUUGCUGUCACUUAUAGAUGGAUCCGCGCUGCAUUAGCUAGUUGGUAAGGUAAUGGCUUACCAAGGCAACGAUGCAUAGCCGACCUGAGAGGGUGAUCGGCCACACUGGAACUGAGACACGGUCCAGACUCCUACGGGAGGCAGCAGUAGGGAAUCUUCCGCAAUGGGCGAAAGCCUGACGGAGCAACGCCGCGUGAGUGAUGAAGGUCUUCGGAUCGUAAAACUCUGUUAUUAGGGAAGAACAUAUGUGUAAGUAACUGUGCACAUCUUGACGGUACCUAAUCAGAAAGCCACGGCUAACUACGUG